This 478-nucleotide ribosomal RNA is filed under the name uncultured bacterium. RNAcentral's name for it is "partial 16S ribosomal RNA". It matches the Rfam family "Bacterial small subunit ribosomal RNA", at positions 28 to 507 of the family's 1533-position model. The record is from RNAcentral.
GACGAACGCUGGCGGCGUGCUUAACACAUGCAAGUCGAACGGGAUUUAGUAAACGGAAGCCUCGGUGGAAGAUUACUAAUGAGAGUGGCGAACGGGUGAGUAACGCGUGAGCAACCUGCCUAUGACAGUGGGAUAGCCUCGGGAAACCGGGAUUAAUACCGCAUAAAAUCGUAGAAACACAUGUUUCAACGGUCAAAGAUUUAUCGGUCAUAGAUGGGCUCGCGUCUGAUUAGCUAGUUGGUGAGAUAACAGCCCACCAAGGCGACGAUCAGUAGCCGGUUCGGGAGGAAGGACCGGCACAAUUGAACUGGGGCACCGUCCCAAAUCCUAACGGAGGGAGGCAGGGGGGAUAAUGGCACAAUGGGGGAAACCCGAAGGCGGCGAGGCGGGGUAACCAAGGAGGUAAUUCGAAUCGUAAGUUCUGUCCUAUGGGAAGAUAAUGACAGUACCAUAGAAGAAAGCUCCGGCUAAAUACGUG